GAUGAAGAACGUAGCGAAAUGCGAUAAGUAAUGUGAAUUGCAGAAUUCAGUGAAUCAUCGAAUCUUUGAACGCACAUUGCGCCCAUUAGCAUUCUAGUGGGCAUGCCUGUUCGAGCGUCAUUUCAACCCUUAAGCCCUGUUGCUUAGCGUUGGGAGCCUACAGUACUGUAGCUCCCCAAAGUUAGUGGCGGAGUCGGUUUCACACUCUAGACGUAGUAAUUUUUUCUCGUCUGUAGUUGAGCCGGUCCCCUGCCGUAAAACACCCAAUUUAUCAAGGUUGACCUCGAAUCAGGUAGGAAUACCCGCUGAACUUAAGCAUAUCAAUAAGCGGAGGA
Molecule: unclassified non-coding RNA, 335 nt
Filed under: soil metagenome
Description: partial contains 5.8S ribosomal RNA, internal transcribed spacer 2, and large subunit ribosomal RNA
Rfam family: 5.8S ribosomal RNA (bases 1-120)
Source: RNAcentral